RNAcentral lists this unclassified non-coding RNA (229 nucleotides) under uncultured fungus. RNAcentral's name for it is "sequence contains ITS1, 5.8S rRNA gene". The stretch from base 181 to 229 matches the Rfam family "5.8S ribosomal RNA", at positions 1 to 49 of the family's 154-position model. Lineage: Eukaryota; Fungi. The record is from RNAcentral.
UCUCCGUAGGUGAACCUGCGGAGGGAUCAUUACUGAGUGAGGGGCUCCGGCCCCAGACCUCCAACCCAUUGUUAUCCGACACUGUUGCCUCGGGGGCGACCCUGCCGUCCGCGGCUGAGCGCCCCCGGGGUCAAUCAAACACUGCAUUCUCUGCGUCGGAGUAUUAGUAAAUCUAAUCAAAACUUUCAACAACGGAUCUCUUGGUUCUGGCAUCGAUGAAGAACGCAGC